This 407-nucleotide ribosomal RNA is filed under the name Verrucomicrobiota bacterium. Its description in RNAcentral is "Verrucomicrobia bacterium partial 16S ribosomal RNA". It matches the Rfam family "Bacterial small subunit ribosomal RNA", at positions 355 to 776 of the family's 1533-position model. The record is from RNAcentral. Lineage: Bacteria; Pseudomonadati; Verrucomicrobiota.
UGGGGAAUAUUGGACAAUGGAGGAAACUCUGAUCCAGCAAUUCUGUGUGUGUGAAGAAGGUUUUAGGACUGUAAAACACUUUUAGUAGGGAAGAAAAAAAUGACGGUACAUACAGAAGAAGCAACGGCUAAAUACGUGCCAGCAGCCGCGGUAAUACGUAUGUUGCGAGCGUUAUCCGGAAUUAUUGGGCUUAAAGGGCAUCUAGGCGGUAAGACAAGUUGAAGGUGAAAACCUGUGGCUCAACCAUAGGCUUGCCUACAAAACUGUUGAACUAGAGUACUGGAAAGGUGGGUGGAACUACACGAGUAGAGGUGAAAUUCGUAGAUAUGUGUAGGAAUGCCGAUGAUGAAGAUAACUCACUGGACAGAAACUGACGCUGAAGUGCGAAAGCUAGGGGAGCAAACAGG